UGGGGGAUAUUGCACAAUGGGCGAAAGCCUGAUGCAGCGACGCCGCGUGGGGGAUGAAGGCUUUCGGGUUGUAAACCUCUUUCGCUAUCGAACAAGGCCCGCUUAGGGUGGGUUGAGGGUAGGUGGAGAAGAAGCGCCGGCUAACUACGUGCCAGCAGCCGCGGUAAUACGUAGGGCGCGAGCGUUGUCCGAAUUAUUGGGCGUAAAGGGCUUGUAGGCGGCUUGUUGCGCCUGCUGUGAAAACGCGGGGCUUAACUUCGCGCGUGCAGUGGGUACGGGCAGGCUUGAGUGUGGUAGGGGUGACUGGAAUUCCAGGUGUAGCGGUGGAAUGCGCAGAUAUCUGGAGGAACACCGAUGGCGAAGGCAGGUCACUGGGCCAUUACUGACGCUGAGGAGCGAAAGCAUGGGUAGCGAACAGG
This 419-nucleotide ribosomal RNA is filed under the name bacterium. RNAcentral's name for it is "partial 16S ribosomal RNA". It matches the Rfam family "Bacterial small subunit ribosomal RNA", at positions 355 to 776 of the family's 1533-position model. The record is from RNAcentral.